ACGGGGGGGGCAAGCGUUGUUCGGAAUUACUGGGCGUAAAGGGCUCGUAGGCGGCCAACUAAGUCAGACGUGAAAUCCCCAGGCUCAACCUGGGAACUGCGUCUGAUACUGGGAGGCUUGAAUCCGGGAGAGGGAUGUGGAAUUCCAGGUGUAGCGGUGAAAUGCGUAGAUAUCUGGAGGAACACCGGUGGCGAAGGCGGCAUCCUGGACCGGUAUUGACGCUGAGGCGCGAAAGCCAGGGGAGCAAACGGGA
This 253-nucleotide ribosomal RNA is filed under the name uncultured prokaryote. Its description in RNAcentral is "partial 16S ribosomal RNA". It matches the Rfam family "Bacterial small subunit ribosomal RNA", at positions 525 to 777 of the family's 1533-position model. The record is from RNAcentral.